This 1050-nucleotide ribosomal RNA is filed under the name Biston falcata satura. RNAcentral's name for it is "partial 16S ribosomal RNA". The record is from RNAcentral. Lineage: Eukaryota; Metazoa; Arthropoda; Insecta; Lepidoptera; Geometridae.
AUUAAUAAUUAAUAUAUUUAAUAAAAAUAAUUUUAAUUUAAUAAGUAUUUUAAUGGGGGUUAAAGUAUUUUUUAAAGAAAAAAUUUUUAAAUUUAUAGUUAAUUAGUAUUGUGAAAGAAUUUUGAAAUAUUAUGAAAAAUAAAAUUUUUAGAAAGUAAUUUUUAUUUAUUGUAUCUUGUGUAUCAGAGUUUAUUAAAAAUUUUUAAUUUAUGAAUUAAUUUCUCGAAUUUAAAAGAGUUAAAUAAUUAUUAAAGUUAUUGUAGCAAAAUUAUUUUAAAUAAUUAUUUAGAAAUGAAAUGUUAAUCGUUUUUAAAUAUAUCUAGUUUUUAUAGAAAAAAAUUUAAUUUUAAAUUUAAAAAUUAUUUAAUUAAUUUAUUAAUUAAAUAAUUACUUAAAUUUUAUAAUUUAAGGGAUAAGCUUUAAAUUAAAUUUUUAUAAUAUUAAAUUUUUAUUUUGAAAAUUUUAUAAUUUAUAUUGUUAAUAAAUUUUAUUUUGUUAUAAAUAAUUUCAUUUUUUUUAAAAUUUAAAUUUUAUUUAAUUUUUUAUAUAAAAUUUAUUUAUAAUUAUAUAAAGUUAAUUAUAAUGAUAAAAUUAGUAUAUUAUUUAAUAUUAAAUUAMAAUUAAUUUUUGAUUAAUAAUUAAAUUAAUUAAAAGGAAUUCGGCAAAUAUUUAUUUUCACUUGUUUAUCAAAAACAUGUCUUUUUGUUAUUUAAUUUAAAGUCUAAUCUGCCCACUGAUUUAUAAAAAUUGAAGGGCUGCAGUAUAUUGACUGUACAAAGGUAGCAUAAUCAUUAGUCUCUUAAUUGGUGACUUGUAUGAAAGAUUGGAUGAAAAAUAUACUGUCUCUUAAUUAAUAUAUAGAAUUUAAUUUUUUAUUUAAAAAGUUAAAAUAACUUAAAAAGACGAGAAGACCCUAUAGAGUUUAAUAAAUUAUUUUAUGAAAGUUUUAUUUAUAUUUAUUAAUAAUUUUAUAAAUUUAUUUAUUUAGUUGGGGUGAUAAAAAAAUAAAUUUAACUUUUUUUAAGUAAUUUACAUGGAUAAGUGAUUAAU